CAUGCAAGUCGAGGGGCAGCAUGGUCUUAGCUUGCUAAGGCCGAUGGCGACCGGCGCACGGGUGAGUAACACGUAUCCAACCUGCCGUCUACUCUUGGACAGCCUUCUGAAAGGAAGAUUAAUACAAGAUGGCAUCAUGAGUCCGCAUGUUCACAUGAUUAAAGGUAUUCCGGUAGACGAUGGGGAUGCGUUCCAUUAGAUAGUAGGCGGGGUAACGGCCCACCUAGUCUUCGAUGGAUAGGGGUUCUGAGAGGAAGGUCCCCCACAUUGGAACUGAGACACGGUCCAAACUCCUACGGGAGGCAGCAGUGAGGAAUAUUGGUCAAUGGGCGAGAGCCUGAACCAGCCAAGUAGCGUGAAGGAUGACUGCCCUAUGGGUUGUAAACUUCUUUUAUAAAGGAAUAAAGUCGGGUAUGGAUACCCGUUUGCAUGUACUUUAUGAAUAAGGAUCGGCUAACUCCGUGCCAGCAGCCGCGGUAAUACGGAGGAUCCGAGCGUUAUCCGGAUUUAUUGGGUUUAAAGGGAGCGUAGAUGGAUGUUUAAGUCAGUUGUGAAAGUUUGCGGCUCAACCGUAAAAUUGCAGUUGAUACUGGAUAUCUUGAGUGCAGUUGAGGCAGGCGGAAUUCGUGGUGUAGCGGUGAAAUGCUUAGAUAUCACGAAGAUCUCCGAUUGCGAAGGCAGCCUGCUAAGCUGCAACUGACAUUGAGGCUCGAAAGUGUGGGUAUCAAACAGGAUUAGAUACCCUGGUAGUCCACACGGUAAACGAUGAAUACUCGCUGUUUGCGAUAUACUGCAAGCGGCCAAGCGAAAGCGUUAAGUAUUCCACCUGGGGAGUACGCCGGCAACGGUGAAACUCAAAGGAAUUGACGGGGGCCCGCACAAGCGGAGGAACAUGUGGUUUAAUUCGAUGAUACGCGAGGAACCUUACCCGGG
This 933-nucleotide ribosomal RNA is filed under the name uncultured bacterium. RNAcentral describes it as "bacterial SSU rRNA". It matches the Rfam family "Bacterial small subunit ribosomal RNA", at positions 54 to 979 of the family's 1533-position model. The record is from RNAcentral.